Molecule: ribosomal RNA, 253 nt
Filed under: uncultured bacterium
Lineage: Bacteria
Description: partial 16S ribosomal RNA
Rfam family: Bacterial small subunit ribosomal RNA
Source: RNAcentral
UACGGGGGGGGCAAGCGUUGUUCGGAAUUACUGGGCGUAAAGGGCUCGUAGGCGGCCAACUAAGUCGGAUGUGAAAUCCCCAGGCUUAACCUGGGAACUGCAUCCGAUACUGGAUGGCUUGAAUCCGGGAGAGGGAUGCAGAAUUCCAGGUGUAGCGGUGAAAUGCGUAGAUAUCUGGAGGAACACCAGUGGCGAAAGCGCCUUGCUGGGCCAGUACUGACACUGAGGAACGAAAGCCAGGGGAGCGAAAGGG